UGAGAUGGUAGAUGGUUUGGUCACUGUUUAUAGGUGUCCUGGCAGUAGGAAGCGUGGCAGGUGUGAGAGGCAUUCACUCGUACCAGGAAUGCUCUCCCCACCUUUUAAGACCCUCUCUGUUCUUCAUGCCUGUGGAUGGCAUCGUCUCCAUAUUGUUUUCACCAUCUCCUGCAACCGUCUAAUUCCCUUUGAAUGCCUGUCACACCUACCUUCUGCCAUUUCUUGGCCUCUUGUUGCCAGUUCUUCUGAGCAACUCUUCCGUUUUCCCGGUUUGACUGUAGGCCCUUUCAGUCGAGGGCCUUUCGAGACUAAAAUCACCCUUUCUAGUGAGUGUUUCAGUAAUGGCUCACGGGAGCUGUGAAUAUCAUUGCAUGUCAACACCCGUGUUUGGGCAGGUGGACAUGCUCAGGUUGGCAAGUGUUCAUGUCCUGGUAUCUGAGGCAGUGUACUAGUGUGCUGAGGACAGCUCAGAAAUGGCCAAGAUAAAAUGGAAGAGGGAGAAAUGCUACAGCGCCAAAUAGAACUCUUAGGGCCACGUCCAGGGACUAUACUCAGAAAAGGCCAGCUUUGAGCUGUGUGUUCCCUCUGGGACCAGGUGAUUACAGUUUAGGAUGGAUUGGGGAAUUUCCAUGCUGCUGGAAACACCAUAUGAGAACCUUCCUAGUAUUUGGGUUCAACAGCAAAUGCUGAGACAGAAAAAAUAUUUCCAUCCAUCUGCACUAAUCUCUUAUUUCCCUAGCAGUUAGAAAGAGAGAGAGGGGACGAAAAAAAUAAAUUAAAGGCUGCAUCAGAAAAAAAGCUCAAGAGCCAGGCUUACGCUCAGCCCGCUGCCAGGUCAUUUUCUAGUCGGUACAGGAAAUGCCAAACUUCUGCGGCUAUUGGGUGGAGGUGCUGGGAAUAUAAUCAUUUGAACUGUGAUAAUUGAAGGCAUUAAAGAAGAAAGCCCAACUGAAAAACUUCCAGAAAGGCAAAGGCACUCAGAAUUCAAAUCAGGCUGCUCGCAUCCUCCAGUUUCUAGGAAGAAAGCUGCACUUCGUCAGGACCAGGUCUCCUUUCCGUGUCCCGAGACGAUCCACCCACCUGCAGCCGGUGCUCCGUGCCAAGCAAAACCCAAACCCCGGCACCUUGCUACUUACUUAUGUGCAGACCUUCCAUGACCAGGUAUGUUUGUAUGGCAGCUAUGGGAAGGUUGAAAAGGGUCCAGUACCUUCGUAAGGCCUCAGAGAACUCAUCUGUGAACAGGUUUCUGUUCGGUGGCUUGUGCCGUGCAUGUACUACUAUGCUGGACAUUGUAGUAAUUUUUGAUCCCUGACUUGAGGAGGCUCACCGUUGGAUCAGAGGCCAUACACAAACUGGAAUUAAAAUAAAAACUUAAAAAAAAAAAAAAUGAAACGAGCCUAAGAUUGUAUGCUAACUUACUGGAAGAAAAAC
This is a long non-coding RNA of Herpailurus yagouaroundi (jaguarundi), 1431 nucleotides long. RefSeq lists it as uncharacterized. NCBI's taxonomy places the organism in Eukaryota, Metazoa, Chordata, Mammalia, Carnivora, Felidae. The record is from RefSeq and is a predicted model, not a curated record. The transcript has 2 exons.